This 767-nucleotide ribosomal RNA is filed under the name uncultured Pseudomonas sp. RNAcentral describes it as "bacterial SSU rRNA". It matches the Rfam family "Bacterial small subunit ribosomal RNA", at positions 8 to 770 of the family's 1533-position model. The record is from RNAcentral. Lineage: Bacteria; Pseudomonadati; Pseudomonadota; Gammaproteobacteria; Pseudomonadales; Pseudomonadaceae.
AGAGUUUGAUCCUGGCUCAGAUUGAACGCUGGCGGCAGGCCUAACACAUGCAAGUCGAGCGGUAGAGAGAAGCUUGCUUCUCUUGAGAGCGGCGGACGGGUGAGUAAUGCCUAGGAAUCUGCCUGGUAGUGGGGGAUAACGUUCGGAAACGGACGCUAAUACCGCAUACGUCCUACGGGAGAAAGCAGGGGACCUUCGGGCCUUGCGCUAUCAGAUGAGCCUAGGUCGGAUUAGCUAGUUGGUGAGGUAAUGGCUCACCAAGGCGACGAUCCGUAACUGGUCUGAGAGGAUGAUCAGUCACACUGGAACUGAGACACGGUCCAGACUCCUACGGGAGGCAGCAGUGGGGAAUAUUGGACAAUGGGCNAAAGCCUGAUCCAGCCNUGCCGCGUGUGUGAANAAGGUCUUCGGAUUGUAAAGCACUUUAAGUUGGGAGGAAGGGCAUUAACCUAAUACGUUAGUGUUUUGACGUUACCGACAGAAUAAGCACCGGCUAACUCUGUGCCAGCAGCCGCGGUAAUACAGAGGGUGCAAGCGUUAAUCGGAAUUACUGGGCGUAAAGCGCGCGUAGGUGGUUUGUUAAGUUGGAUGUGAAAUCCCCGGGCUCAACCUGGGAACUGCAUUCAAAACUGACUGACUAGAGUAUGGUAGAGGGUGGUGGAAUUUCCUGUGUAGCGGUGAAAUGCGUANAUAUAGGAAGGAACACCAGUGGCGAAGGCGANCACCUGGACUAAUACUGACNCUGANGUGCGAAAGCGUGGGGAGCA